AUACAGAGAGUGCAAGCGUUAAUCGGAAUUACUGGGCGUAAAGCGCGCGUAGGUGGAUUUUUAAGUCGGAUGUGAAAGCCCUGGGCUUAACCUAGGAAUUGCAUUCGAAACUGGAUGUCUAGAGUAUAGUAGAGGGAAGUGGAAUUUCAGGUGUAGCGGUGAAAUGCGUAGAUAUCUGAAGGAACACCAGUGGCGAAGGCGACUUCCUGGACUAAUACUGACACUGAGGUGCGAAAGCGUGGGAGCAAACAGGAUUAGAAACCCUAGUAGUCC
RNAcentral lists this ribosomal RNA (273 nucleotides) under uncultured bacterium. Its description in RNAcentral is "partial 16S ribosomal RNA". It matches the Rfam family "Bacterial small subunit ribosomal RNA", at positions 523 to 796 of the family's 1533-position model. The record is from RNAcentral.